AUCGAUCUAACCAAUUAAGGAAAGUAUAAAUUUAAAUAUAGAUUUGUUCUUAUCCUUAAGGGCACGUUUGGUUCGCACUAUGGAAGAUUAAUAGGAGUAAAAAGAUAUCCGAGAAUCUUAUUCCUAUUCAUCCUAUUACUAAGAAUGUGGCAUUCAUGUGUUUGGUUCGCACGGUCAUAUUAUUUAGUCAAGUUAUUUAAGUUUACAAAAAAUAUACAAUUAAUUUAUUUAUUUCUUUAAUUAAUUUUAGAUAAUGUUACCAAAUAUUUCAACAUCUUUUAAGAAAAAAUGGAUAGAAAAUAUAGGUUAGAGAGAGAGAGCAUAAUUAAAUAAUAGGAAGAGAAAUAGAGUACUCGAGAUUAGAGGGAGUGAGGGAGUUGAAAUUUUAGAAAAAGAGGGGGAGAGAGAGAAAAAGAGUUGAAGUUUAGAGAGAAAAAGAUAAGUUUAGAGAAAAGAUAUGAGGUUAGAGUGUAAAGGAUAAUAAUACUAACUAGCCGGCGGGUAGGGAGAAAGAAAGAGAUUAGACAUAUUAUGAUUACCCAAUUCAUUAAUAUGAGGAUACCCACUCUCCCGUAAGGGAAUGAGAUUAGUACUUUGGGAUGAAUCUCAUUCCCAAGUGAAUCUAAUAUUACCAACUAGAUUACUUAGUGCCUUUAGCCAAACACCGUCGUAUUUUUUUAUUCCAUUGCAUUACUAGGAAUAUUAAAAAGAUAGCGCGAACCAAGCGCACCCUAAUGGUUAUUAUAUUACUAAAAUAGGAUUAUAUAUUCCUCUAUAUAAUAUACGGGAGUUUUUAGAAAACCCUAGCCGUCAUCUCUCUUCUCCUCUGUCUUCCAUCUUCUAGCAAGAAAGAUGUCUUUUUGCAAAGGAGCUAGCACCCCGGUGAGGACAUCGAUCAAAUCAAGAACCUCGUGUGGAUACCUAUAGAGGCCGGACGCGUGUGCGGCUUCAAGAGAACCCAAUUUCAUGAUCAUCAAAUUGAGGUGAAGAUCUAACAGUAGAAAAGCAAAAGAUUCUAUCUUGCUUUUUUUUUUAAUCUUAAAACAUGAGGGAUCCUAAUUGCGUGGUUUCUGAGAUUGGAUCUCGAGAGUUUUCAAAAUCAAAUUUGUUUGAUUUUUUUUUUUGCGGCGUUUUUACCGUACGCAAUUUUCUCACAAUCUCGU
This 1163-nucleotide long non-coding RNA is filed under the name Ananas comosus (pineapple). RNAcentral describes it as "long non-coding RNA (ACOM_LNC042192)". The record is from RNAcentral. Lineage: Eukaryota; Viridiplantae; Streptophyta; Magnoliopsida; Poales; Bromeliaceae.